UCCAGCAGCUGCUGGCCGAGCGGCGACAGCGCGGACAGGAACACGGGGCUGCCCGCCGCCGCCAGCCCGUUGGCCAGAGGCCGCCGCCGCUCGAAGUACAGCCCCAGCAUGAUGAGCGACGGCUGGAAGUUGAGGGCCAGGCCCAGGCCUGCGGGCGAGGCAGCGCUGUGCCGGGGUCCCCAGGGAACCCCUCCCUGGCCCCCGCAGGAGGGAGGGGCCAGGCCCGGGAACCCAGCAGAUCCAAGAACCCAGCCGAAGGACUUCGAAGACUGUCCCACAUAGGGAAACCGAGGGCAGAUCUUGCAGCAAGAAUCCCCGACCCCCAAACCAGAGGGGAGGAGAACAGGGGGCCCUCACCUGUGAGCACCCCAGCGGUCAGGUAGAGCUCCAGGAGGCGCGUGGCAAAGGAAGCUAGGAUCAUGCCUGCGGAAGCCAGCAGCCCACCCGCCAGCAUCACCGGGCGACAGCCAAAGCGGGUCACGAGGAUGCUGGACACGGGGCCUGUGGGCAGGGCAGGGUCACCACACGGGUCCCGGGAUGGCUUGAGUCCUCUAAGGAAUAAGGUCACCUCCGGCUCAGGGACCCAGAGAGGUGGGCAUUGUCUGGCCAAGGUCACACAGCUUGGAGGGCACAGGCCAAAGAGACAGCACCCUGCGAGGGCAAGGCCCAGAGCACCCUAUCCCUACGCCUCCUGAGAACCCAAACCCCAAGCAGAGGGGGGACUUCCACACCCCUUUAACCUUCACAGCCUCCAAGUCCCGCCCUGGCACAGCCUGGGAUUCCUCCGCAGCCCCGCCUCCCAGGAUGGGAACUCCAGCAAGCCCCCCGCCUAACAGGGCGCUGAAGGAUGAGGGUAGGACGAGGGGUCCCACCUGACUCUGCACCUCAGCAGGCUCCCUCUGGAGGACACUGCUGGCCCCUCAGGACCUCAGGUGGAAGACAUCGGGAAGUGGAGUAGGUGUGUGCCUGGAGAGAUGGGGUCCCACGGUGUUGCCCAAGCUGGUGUUGAACUGUUGGAGUCAAGAGAUCCUCCCCUCCUAGUCUCCCUAGUAGCUGGGAUUACAAGUGUGUGCUGCCACACCUGCCACCCCCGUCACUGUUCGGGCCCCGUUUGAGGACUCACCUUGGGAAGAGUUCCUGUGGCGGGUACUGCUCUGAGGACAUCAGUUUCUGCAGUGGGGGUGGGGAAGGGCUGGUUUGGUGGGGAGAGGGGCAAGCAAUCCCUUGCCCCUCCCCUCCCUCUCCCCAUGCCCAUAGGGCAGAGGACUGGGCCAGAGAGCCCCUGCCAUGCAAGGCUCCUGGGAAAUGAGACCCUGAGGUUCUGAAGCCCAGCAUUCUGUGGGUUGCAGAAGUGAGAAAUCCCUGGGCCAGAGCACCACCUCUGAGGACUAACCACGCCCCCAUAAUAACACUGGGGUGGCUCCAUGGGUAGACGAUCUCCCUGGCCUCCCGCAGCCCCGUCCUGCUGGCCAGCCCCAGGUCACAUUCUGCUCCAGGACCCUGGUCUUCCCCUUCAGCCCAGACUCAGCCCCAUACCACCCCUCCAUGCACUGAGGAACAGACUGAGGCCAGGUGGGUGGGUCCCCUACCAGACAGCCAGUGACAGAGCCUCGGGAUCCCUGCUCUCCCGCCUCCCUGCCCACUGGAGGCCCCAGGAGAGGGCGGGCGAGGGCUCACCUUGACGUCAGUGGCAGUCCCUGUGCUGCCCAUGCUGCCUCGGCGGCUGCUGGGC
Molecule: long non-coding RNA, 1732 nt
Organism: Rhinopithecus roxellana (golden snub-nosed monkey)
Lineage: Eukaryota; Metazoa; Chordata; Mammalia; Primates; Cercopithecidae
Exons: 3
Source: RefSeq, a predicted model, not a curated record